AGCUAAUAGGCGCGGGUUGCUUGUUGUUUGGCAUGUAGCGCUCGUUUACAGCUUUGCCUCCCUGCAUCCAGUGCAGCCUUAGGCCUUAGUUGGUGGAAAGCCAGUACAGGAGUCUGUGAAGAUGCCAGGCAAGGCAGAGAGUUGUGAUCUGCAGCCUCUGCAGUCUCUGGGUAGCGACCACGGCUACAUACGGAUGGCUAUGGUGGCUAAGUUCACUUAUUCACUGCUGCUGCGCCAACUGCCCGAUGCAGCGUCCCUAGCUAACGAGGUAGCUUCCAGACAGCCAUUCCGCCGAGGACUGAUAGGUUUGGCGGAGUGUCUUAUCUGCACCUCUUCGGCUAUACAUUUGAUGGGCGGGGGUGCGUGCAAGGCCGACGUACAUGCAGAGUAGUUGCAGGCUCGCGGAGAAUUGUGCCAGUAGUGUGCAGUGUUGUAGUAAAUAACAUUUCAACGACCCAAUUAAGUAUGAGUUGGCCAUAACAGCGCAUACCGCAUGUGUUUAUAAGGGCCUUAGGCAGCUUUACAGGUUAGGCAGUCAGUCAUCCGUCAUCAUCCGGGCCGACUUCCGGAAAGUUAGUUCAUUCAGAGUUCAUCCAUCCCGCAGGCGCCGUGGGGGCCUGAGAUGUUAAGCAUGUAUGUGUAACAGUUUUUUAUGGUCACCUCAAUCUCUGAUUCCGACGGCAUGCAACCGUGGAGCUAGAGGCAUGCUCCUUCCAAUCAUAGUGCCAAGUACGGCCCCUUGCAGCAGAGCGCGCGCGUACGUUGAUUAUCGAUCUGUUAGAAGACAGCUGACGUAUCGCCAGCACCGCGAAUGGUGCACAGGUGUCCUUGACCUUAGGUGCAGGAUGGGAAAGUGGAUAGUGGAAGCAGGCUUAUGUUGGGAAUGUUAGCAGUGGCGGCAAGGAUAGUAAGCAUUUGCUUCUGCAAGUACAGCAUUACGGGUGCAUGAGGCUACUUGCAAGCUGUAUGUAUGUAUAUGUGCAUUUAUGUAUGUAUGUGUGCAUGUAUGUGUGCAUGUAUGUUUAUAUGUAUGUAUGUAUGUAUGCAUGCAUGCUAUAUGUUUGCCCGGAAUUGUGCAAGGCCAGGGAAACGUUGGCCCCCCUGCUUGUUUUGUCACCUAUCUUCGCUGCCCGGACCCAGCUUUCCGGAGUUAUCUGGAACAAAGCAAAUUCCGCCACGUACUGUGUGGACGCAGAGGCAGGCGGUGGAAGCAUGAAGCGCGUGCGGGGGGGGAUUGCAACACGUCCCUCGCGGCUCGGUCUGACUGCAUGAUGAAAUCUGGUCACGAGCGUUAAAUACCUCCUCAUGGUCAUUAUAGUUUCUGGGCUUGGGUUAGAGCUACGGUGGAGUGUUGGUAGCCAACGACGUGGUAAGGUCAGGGGUAUGUACCGGAACGUAACUCCCGUGAACCGCGGGUUUAUCGCCCCGCCGUGUAGGGAUUGUCGUGUCCCGGCAUGUGCAUCUAAGCACCGCUGUGAGCUGCAGGCGGGCUGACGGGCUGUGUAGGUCGGCUGGUUGGCGCGCGAGGCUGCCAGCUGCUGAUCAGGUCGACAUUCAUCGGCCGGAGGUCAGAGAUCCGUGACCGAAUGGAUGGAACUCGGCCCCUGGAUAUGCGAAGAUAUGCAACAUCUUUGAAACAAUCAAGAGGGUGGUUGGCUCGCUUCUGCCACGAUAGCGCAUGCUUUCCAGUAGUUUUUAUAGUUGCGGCGUUUUAUCGUAUUAUUGGAGGCUUGUAGGAAUAGGAGGGAAAGGAAUGGAUAAACGGUUUGUACGGCGACUCAUGGCCGUGGCUGACAUAGCCAGAAGCAGAGAUGCAUUGGCUUGGGGGAAGGUGCCCUAGCGUGUUCCUUUUUUCAGUCUGGGCUCCUUAGGUACUUAUUAGGUUAUGUGGGGUGAUUUUUGCAUAUGUUAGCAGGUGCGGGCCCUAGCAAAUAUUUUUGGCGGGCUUUGCAGCAACUCCAUGUAUGUGAGCUAUGCCGGCAUCCCCGGCAACAGAUUUUCUUAGGGGCGGGGACCUGGCGGCGCGGCUUUCCGCCGUAAACGGGGACCUUACGAACUCCCCGGAAGAAUGUCUAAAGUUUGGGUAUAAGAAAUUGCGCAUAUCUGGCGUUACUUUGACCUUGCAUGAAUCAAGACAACAGUAAGGAAAUGCGACAUGUAUAAUGAAAAGCGGGAAUAUCGAAAAUGUUGGCAUCCGUACAUUGGCAUCCGAACCAUUUGCUAGGUCUCAUUUCCAAAUACAAAAUCCUCUACGUACAUAGAGUACAUAGAUAACCCCCUCGCUAAGUUUUUUAAGAAAAAAGAGGUCACAGUGGCACCACGUAGGAAGAGAGCACGCAAAGAGAUUAACCUGAAGAAAACGGGCGGCCAUGGAUCCGGUGCUGGAGAGCCCAACUUGGACGCGGCUCCUGUUCCAGCAGCGGACGUCCAUGAAGAUAAUACUGGCGCAGACUUUUCCAACAUAGAUGAGGAGCCGCAGGCAGAGCUCUCUGAUGACGAACACGGCCCACCAAAUGGCCCCCCAGAAUCGAAUUACGAAGCAGUUGCCAAAGUGUACCUUCAGCAAGUUGCAGCUGCAAGUAAAGCAAUGAGAGGUUUCCUCGAUGUUUGCCCAAGCAUGGCAGCGACUAUAUCUCGCCAAAACAGCACGUCACGCUGAUGCGUUUCAGGAUGUGUGUUUGGCCUUUGGCGGUUAAUCGACCGCACGGUAGGGAACGGUCUGCCCGGUGGUGCCGGGUCUGUGGGAACCGGCAAGAUGAAUGUCAUGUGCUGCUAGAUUGACCUGCGUAUGCGAAUGUCUGUUUGAAGCUUUGGGACCUGGGGGUUACUCCUGGGGACCGCAUGAUCGAGAUUAUGGGCGUCAAGGAUCAACGCGGGUUAGCGCGCGUCCUGGACGACAUUAGAAGAUGCAGGUUGCAGGUUGAAGAUUAAUCAAUCUGUUAUUGUUGGGUAUUGGCAUUUUUCUUUUUUGAGUUCUUGUUUCCAGUUUGGCGGUUCAUGAGCCUUUUGGCUCGUCUGGACCGUACAAGCUUGAAGCUUGUAAAACGUAAACGUAAAACGAUUCUCUUUCCGCAUUUCCGCCAAUCUGGGCUUCGCUGCGGAAAGCGUGACGAAACCUAUUUACGCAGGUUUCCGUUUCCGCAGGUUUCCGUUUCGGCUCGUUCCCUGGCUUAAAGAUUGUUGCGAAGCUGAAAAA
RNAcentral lists this long non-coding RNA (3196 nucleotides) under Volvox carteri. RNAcentral's name for it is "long non-coding RNA (VCAR_LNC002443)". Lineage: Eukaryota; Viridiplantae; Chlorophyta; Chlorophyceae; Chlamydomonadales; Volvocaceae. The record is from RNAcentral.